RNAcentral lists this ribosomal RNA (484 nucleotides) under uncultured bacterium. Its description in RNAcentral is "partial 16S ribosomal RNA". It matches the Rfam family "Bacterial small subunit ribosomal RNA", at positions 30 to 507 of the family's 1533-position model. The record is from RNAcentral.
AUUGAACGCCGGCGGCAGGCCUAACACAUGCAAGUCGAGCGGAUGAAGGGAGCUUGCUCCUGGAUUCAGCGGCGGACGGGUGAGUAAUGCCUAGGAAUCUGCCUGGUAGUGGGGGAUAACGUCCGGAAACGGGCGCUAAUACCGCAUACGUCCUGAGGGAGAAAGUGGGGGAUCUUCGGACCUCACGCUAUCAGAUGAGCCUAGGUCGGAUUAGCUAGUUGGUGGGGUAAAGGCCUACCAAGGCGACGAUCCGUAACUGGUCUGAGAGGAUGAUCAGUCACACUGGAACUGAGACACGGUCCAGACUCCUACGGGAGGCAGCAGUGGGGAAUAUUGGACAAAGGGCGAAAGCCUGAUCCAGCCAUGCCGCGUGUGUGAAGAAGGUCUUCGGAUUGUAAAGCACUUUAAGUUGGGAGGAAGGGCAGUAAGUUAAUACCUUGCUGUUUUGACGUUACCAACAGAAUAAGCAUCGGCUAACUUCGUG